CGACCUUGAAAUACCACCCUUUAAUGUUUGAUGUUCUAACGUUGACCCGUAAUCCGGGUUGCGGACAGUGUCUGGUGGGUAGUUUGACUGGGGCGGUCUCCUCCUAAAGAGUAACGGAGGAGCACGAAGGUUGGCUAAUCCUGGUCGGACAUCAGGAGGUUAGUGCAAUGGCAUAAGCCAGCUUGACUGCGAGCGUGACGGCGCGAGCAGGUGCGAAAGCAGGUCAUAGUGAUCCGGUGGUUCUGAAUGGAAGGGCCAUCGCUCAACGGAUAAAAGGUACUCCGGGGAUAACAGGCUGAUACCGCCCAAGAGUUCAUAUCGACGGCGGUGUUUGGCACCUCGAUGUCGGCUCAUCACAUCCUGGGGCUGAAGUAGGUCCCAAGGGUAUGGCUGUUCGCCAUUUAAAGUGGUACGCGAGCUGGGUUUAGAACGUCGUGAGACAGUUCGGUCCCUAUCUGCCGUGGGCGCUGGAGAACUGAGGGGGGCUGCUCCUAGUACGAGAGGACCGGAGUGGACGCAUCACUGGUGUUCGGGUUGUCAUGCCAAUGGCACUGCCCGGUAGCUAAAUGCGGAAGAGAUAAGUGCUGAAAGCAUCUAAGCACGAAACUUGCC
This 612-nucleotide ribosomal RNA is filed under the name Escherichia coli. Its description in RNAcentral is "bacterial LSU rRNA". It matches the Rfam family "Bacterial large subunit ribosomal RNA", at positions 2187 to 2798 of the family's 2925-position model. RNAcentral also lists the same sequence under 3 other names. The record is from RNAcentral. Lineage: Bacteria; Pseudomonadati; Pseudomonadota; Gammaproteobacteria; Enterobacterales; Enterobacteriaceae.